AACUCAGGCCAUGUUUGCUGGAUUCUUCUUUUCAGAUUAUAUCCCUUAUGUUGGCAAGAUUAUCGAUACGCUCAGUGGAUUACUCCCUCGACUCAACAAGAACUUCUCAGAAUUUGAUGUUCUCUAUCAAGAUAUCAUCGACGAACACCUCCAGGGGAAGGCACCCAAGUCAGAAUGCGAGAACUUAGUGGAAGUUUUACUUAAACUUUACAAGGAGAACGCAUACAAAAUUCAACUCACCUUUGCUCACCUGAAAGCAAUUCUCAUGGUAUAUAUUUAUAUAGAUUGCUAAAGUUAAAACUAUUUCUAUUAUCAUUCUUGAACUCAACAUUUGUUUCUUGCAGAAUGUAUUUAUUGCUGGAACGGACACAAGCGCCUCUGCUGUGG
Molecule: long non-coding RNA, 387 nt
Filed under: Manihot esculenta (cassava)
Lineage: Eukaryota; Viridiplantae; Streptophyta; Magnoliopsida; Malpighiales; Euphorbiaceae
Description: long non-coding RNA (MESC_LNC010552)
Source: RNAcentral